RNAcentral lists this unclassified non-coding RNA (329 nucleotides) under Hevea brasiliensis (rubber tree). Lineage: Eukaryota; Viridiplantae; Streptophyta; Magnoliopsida; Malpighiales; Euphorbiaceae. The record is from RNAcentral.
GGAAGCCAAGCAUGCCCAAACUUGAUCAAUUUCCUCUGUGCCAACAAGUUAUAGCAUAUCAUGCAAACGAGAUACUUCAUGGUAGGCAUGAAAAAUAUGGAUGCUUAUUCAUGAACUCUUUAAUCUAUAGCCAACCACUUGCAUGCAUAGCCGAGAAAGUUAAUCGGUCAUAUUACAAUGAUUUGUGUUCAUGACGAUAGAAGAAUGUGAAAGGGCCUCAAAUCUUAAAAAUAAUAAUGAAGGAGGCUUAGAAUCAAGACAUCAUGAAAAGUUGCAAUUGGAAGGAAACAGCACAAAAUCUAAAAAUAACUGAUACUCAAUAAACUAAC